GUGCCAGCAGCCGCGGUAAUACCGGCAGCCCGAGUGAUAGCCGAUCUUAUUGGGCCUAAAGCGUCCGUAGCUGGCCGCACAAGUCCGUCGGGAAAUCCGCCCGCUCAACGGGCGGCCGUCCGGCGGAACCUGUGCGGCUUGGGACCGGGAGGCCUGAGGGGUAUGAUCGGGGUAGGAGUGAAAUCCUGUAAUCCCACUCGGACCGCCAAUGGGGAAACCACCUCAGGAGAACGGAUCCGACAGUGAGGGACGAAAGCCAGGGUCUCGAACCGGAUUAGAUACCCGAGUAGUCC
Molecule: ribosomal RNA, 293 nt
Filed under: uncultured bacterium
Lineage: Bacteria
Description: partial 16S ribosomal RNA
Rfam family: Archaeal small subunit ribosomal RNA
Source: RNAcentral